Molecule: ribosomal RNA, 1473 nt
Filed under: uncultured bacterium
Lineage: Bacteria
Description: 16S ribosomal RNA
Rfam family: Bacterial small subunit ribosomal RNA
Source: RNAcentral
UGAACGCUGGCGGUAGGUUUUAUCCAUGCAAGUCGAGCGGUAACAGACAUUGUGAUUCAGCUUGCUGAAUCUAGUGCUGACGAGCGGCGAACUGGUGAGUAACGCGUAGGAAUCUGCCCAGUAGCGGGGGAUAGCCCGAGGAAACUCGGAUUAAUACCGCAUACGCCCUAAGGGGGAAAGGGGGCAUCUUUGAUGCUCUUACUAUUGGAGGAGCCUGCGUAAGAUUAGCUUGUUGGUAGGGUAAAGGCCUACCAAGGCGACGAUCUUUAGCUGGUCUGAGAGGACGAUCAGCCACAUUGGGACUGAGACACGGCCCAGACGUCUACGGACGGCAGCAGGAGAGAAUAUUGGACAAUGAGGGAAACCUUGAUCCAGCCAUACCGCGUGUGUGAAGAAGGCCUUAGGGUUGUAAAGCACUUUAAGCGAUGAAGAAGAAAAGUAAGUUAAUACCUUACUUUUUUGACGUUAUUCGCAGAAUAAGUACCGGCUAACUCCGUGCCAGCAGCCGCGGUAAUACGGAGGGUACAAGCGUUAAUCGGAAUUACUGGGCGUAAAGCGCGCGUAGGCGGUUAAGUAAGUUGGAUGUGAAAGCCCUGGGCUCAACCUAGGAACUGCAUUCAAAACUAUUUAACUAGAGUGCGAGAGAGGAGAGUAGAAUUUCUGGUGUAGCGGUGAAAUGCGUAGAUAUCAGAAGGAAUACCAAUGGCGAAGGCAGCUCUCUGGAUCGUCACUGACGCUAAGUGCGAAAGCGUGGGUAGCAAACAGGAUUAGAUACCCUGGUAGUCCACGCCGUAAACGAUGAGAACUAGCCGUUGGGGAGAAUUAACUCUUCAGUGGCGCAGCUAACGCAUUAAGUUCUCCGCCUGGGGACUACGGCCGCAAGGCUAAAACUCAAAUGAAUUGACGGGGGCCCGCACAAGCGGUGGAUCAUGUGGUUUAAUUCGAUGCAACGCGAAGAACCUUACCUACCCUUGAAAUCCAGCGAAGUUCCUAGAGAUAGGAAUGUGCCUUCGGGAACGCUGUGACAGGUGUUGCAUGGCUGUCGUCAGCUCGUGUCGUGAGAUGUAUGGUUAAGUCCAGUAACGAGCGCAACCCCUAUCCUUAUUUGCCAGCGCAUAAUGGCGGGAACUAUAAGGAGACUGCCGGUCAUAAACCGGAGGAAGGCGGGGACGACGUCAAGUCAUCAUGGCCCUUAUGGGUAGGGCUACACACGUGAUACAAUGGGUGGUACAGAGGGUCGCCAAAGCGCGAGCUGGAGCCAAACCCUUAAAACCAUUCUUAGUCCGGAUUGGAGUCUGCAACUCGACUCCAUGAAGUCGGAAUCGCUAGUAAUCGCGAAUCAGAAUGUCGCGGUGAAUACGUUCUCGGGCCUUGUACACACCGCCCGUCACGUCAUGGAAGUGGGUUGCACCAGAAGUGGCUUGUUUAACCUUCGGGAAAACGGUCACCACGGUGUGAUUCACAACUGGGACG